This 72-nucleotide transfer RNA is filed under the name Bufo stejnegeri (Korean water toad). Its description in RNAcentral is "tRNA-Lys". Lineage: Eukaryota; Metazoa; Chordata; Amphibia; Anura; Bufonidae. The record is from RNAcentral.
CAUUGAGAAGCUAUAGGACCCAGCGACAGCCUUUUAAGCUGUAGACAGGUGACUUCCAACCACCCUUAGUGA